RNAcentral lists this transfer RNA (72 nucleotides) under Vibrio phage Chester. RNAcentral's name for it is "tRNA-Tyr". Lineage: Duplodnaviria; Heunggongvirae; Uroviricota; Caudoviricetes; Demerecviridae. The record is from RNAcentral.
GAUUUUGUCGUAUUAAACGUCUAUGGAGGACGGCGGGAUUGUAGACCCCGUGUUGCGAAAGCAGCUCCCUAG